This 127-nucleotide small RNA is filed under the name Marmota monax (woodchuck). The record is from RNAcentral. Lineage: Eukaryota; Metazoa; Chordata; Mammalia; Rodentia; Sciuridae.
GCCAGGCAUGGUGGCGCACGCCUGUAACUCCAACAACUUGGGAGGCUGAGGCAGGAGAAUCACAAAUUCAAGACCAGCCUCAGCAACUUAGUGCGGCCCUAAGCAACUCAGUGAGACCUUGUCUCAA